RNAcentral lists this ribosomal RNA (226 nucleotides) under uncultured bacterium. Its description in RNAcentral is "partial 16S ribosomal RNA". It matches the Rfam family "Bacterial small subunit ribosomal RNA", at positions 118 to 345 of the family's 1533-position model. The record is from RNAcentral.
UGAGCAAUCUGCCCUUCUCAUCGGAAUAAGCGUUGGAAACGACGUUUAAUGCCGAAUACGACCUCCUUUCGCAUGAUCGGAGGUGGAAAGCUCCGGCGGAGAAGGAUGAGCUCGCGGCCUAUCAGCUAGUUGGUGUGGGUAAUGGCCCACCAAGGCGACGACGGGUAGCUGGUCUGAGAGGAUGGCCAGCCACAUUGGGACUGAGACACGGCCCAGAUCCUACGGG